AACAUAUAUUAUACGUAUUAAUUUUUAAAAUAUCUCAUGUAAAUUUUCAUAUAAAAUAUAUAUAUAUAUAUACUUCCUUAAUUUUACGUAAAUUCAAAUAUCUAUUUAUGUUUGUCGAACAUUGAUAUCGAAACUGAGUUGAAGUACCUAGUAAUAUAAUGCCUCUUUCUAUUUUAGAACUUAAAUUGAUACGUUGCCUCCAAGUUCAUUAAUUAGGUGUCUUUUGUACCAUUGCCACUUCUCAGCUCUUAGCUCUACAUUAUUCAAAUUACAUUCUUCUUCUCUUUUUUUUUUCUUUUCAGUGGUAGCAUAUCACUUAUUUCGUCUAAGAAAGAUGACAUGAACUCAAGUUUGGAAAAUACUUAGAAAUCAUGCUUUCUCAAUUUCAGGAUUUGAAGUAAAGAUGCAAAUGAGUUGAUUAUGCAUCGAAUGAUGAAGAUGUUAUUCAAUAAUUGAAGAAAAUUCAGGAGCAUAUUUUCAAGGAAGCCAUGGGAUGGUUUACAGGGUUCAUAACUACUCCUCUUCCUACAGGACGCUUAUCUAGCCAACGGUUAUCUGCAUAUGGCCUUUUUUCCUAGGUGCUCAUUUUGUCCGCGGCUUUUAGUUUAAUAUUUCUAUUCAGCAGACGUGGUUAUUGGCAAGAAAGUUUCGAACUUCAGGAGACUUAUUUUGCCCACAAUUUAUUGUUUGUACCUAUGGGCGCCAUUUUCAACAUUGGACACUGAAAAUGUUACAUGACAUCUUUUGGGUCCCAGUGAUAACCGCGACAAAUAGACGAUCUCAAUUAGAUUAUCCAACACUAUUUCAUUUAUAUAUUCUUUUAUUUCUUUGGGAAGUAAAAACUAGAUUGAAUCAUCAUAUAUGUAAUGAUGUAAAUGUCAGUUAUUUUAUUCAUUCUACUAAUGCAGAUACUAUUUCGAAUUUUGUUAAAAUCUGAGAUGGUAAUCGAAUAAAAAAAAUA
Long non-coding RNA from Solanum pennellii, 961 nucleotides. RefSeq lists it as uncharacterized. The transcript has 3 exons. The record is from RefSeq and is a predicted model, not a curated record. Lineage: Eukaryota; Viridiplantae; Streptophyta; Magnoliopsida; Solanales; Solanaceae.